UUGGGUCUGUGGAGCUUGAAGCUGCUAAAGGAAGGAUGGAGUGGGGUGUGGGGGUGAGCUCUCAGGCAGCCCAUGGACUAUUUACUUCUGGGGCUUUCCCUCAGCCCUGUACAGAGGAGCCUGCAGAUCUGUGUUCAUGCCCCAGGGCAGUGUACCACAGUAAGACUGGCAAAAGGUGAAAGGAGCAGUGACCUGAUGGGAGUUAUCUAGCUUAUCUGUCACGGAACUGGGGUGUUAUGAUGACUCAUGCGGGACAAACAUUAAGGAAGGAAGGAGGGAAGGAAGGCUGGCAUGAAAACAGAGAAAUGGAGUCAGUGCCUGAGGGCAGAAACCGGUGUGGUCGGCAGUCACGCAGCCUCGGGCAGAGCGAGGAAGAAUGUUUUCAGCAUCCUCAGAGGUCUUCGAUGCUGUCAGUUUUCUGCGUGUCUUUGAGCUCCAA
Prionailurus viverrinus (fishing cat) is the source of this 439-nucleotide long non-coding RNA. RefSeq lists it as uncharacterized. Lineage: Eukaryota; Metazoa; Chordata; Mammalia; Carnivora; Felidae. The transcript is spliced from 3 exons. The record is from RefSeq and is a predicted model, not a curated record.